Molecule: small RNA, 187 nt
Filed under: Pongo abelii (Sumatran orangutan)
Lineage: Eukaryota; Metazoa; Chordata; Mammalia; Primates; Hominidae
Description: processed transcript
Source: RNAcentral
ACUGGGAAGCAAAGACCACCAUCACAUUGACUGUAGACCUAAACCAGAAGAUAAUCAUGGACAUAUUGAUCCCUCUCUGAGACCCAUCUGGGAUUUGGCUUUCCUUGGAAGCUCUUAUGUGAUGUGGGAAAUAACAACACAGGUGUCACACUACUACUUGGCACAGCUCACUAGUGUGAGACAGUGG